Molecule: ribosomal RNA, 480 nt
Filed under: Tomonotus mexicanus
Lineage: Eukaryota; Metazoa; Arthropoda; Insecta; Orthoptera; Acrididae
Description: partial 16S ribosomal RNA
Rfam family: Bacterial large subunit ribosomal RNA
Source: RNAcentral
UCUUCUCGAUAAUAUUUUGAAGUCUGGCCUGCUCACUGAAUAUUUUUAAAGAGCCGCGGUAUUUUGACCGUGCAAAGGUAGCAUAAUCAUUAGUUUCUUAAUUAGAGGCUUGAAUGAAUGGUUUGACGAGAAAUUAACUGUCUCUUAAUAAUUUUUAGAAUUUAACUUUUAAGUUAAAAGGCUUAAAUUUUCUUUUAGGACGAGAAGACCCUAUAGAGCUUAACAUUUAUAUAUUUUUAUAUUAUUUUGGAUUAUUUUUAAUUGAAUAUUUUUAAUGUUUGGUUGGGGUGACUUGAAGAAUAAAUAAACUCUUCAUUAUUAAAUCAUUGAUUUAUGUUUAUUUGAUCCAUAAUUUAUGAUCAUAAGAUUAAGUUACCUUAGGGAUAACAGCGUAAUCAUUUUUAAGAGUUCAUAUCGACAAAAUGGGUUGCGACCUCGAUGUUGGAUUAAGAUUAAUUUUAGGUGUAGUAGCUUAAUAAU